RNAcentral lists this long non-coding RNA (902 nucleotides) under Cricetulus griseus (Chinese hamster). Its description in RNAcentral is "lncRNA (ENSCGRG00015031206.1)". Lineage: Eukaryota; Metazoa; Chordata; Mammalia; Rodentia; Cricetidae. The record is from RNAcentral.
UGGAUGUUAAGCUGCAUUCACCGGUAACACCUUCAGGGCCUGCAGGGUCCUCUUCAGAAAUGCGUUUGUUUGCUUGGAGCUGCAGAAUGUAUUGGUUUCUUUACUCAGUAAAUCAAGGGGCUUGCUGCCAAAGCCUGACAACCUGAGUUGGAGCCAUAGAACCAACAUGGCGGAAGGCAAGAACUGACCCCCACAACAUGCCCCAAGUGGGCUUCUGUCCCUCUGUGGACCUGAAAUUGCAUGCACAUGUGUGGGGGUGCCUUCAGAAGCCAGAGAAGGGUAUUGGAUCUCUUGGAGCUGGUGUUGUAGGUCGCCCAUCAUGGGUGCUGGAAAUCAAACUCGGGUCCUCUGGAAGAGCAGCAAGUGAUCCUUAUUUCUGAGUCAUCUCUCCUGUCCCUCCAAUGAAGACCUGCCUGACAGCAAUCCCUAAACACCCUGGAAAGAAAAUGGGCCACACCUCCUCGACUGCACUGGAUCCAACUUGCUCCAUUUCAACUGACACUCCGGCCAGAGGUUCGGGUACUGACUUCAAUCAAGUUGAGGAUUUCAAGCGAGAUCUUCAAUCAAGUGAAUUCCAUCUAACAUGGACUGGAUACAAUUCAUUCAAGACUCUUACUAUACUAACAUUUUCUUCCUACAGGACCCCACAUGACUAUCAUCGUCCCAUUUCAGCAGGAAGUAACUUGGAGAAUGCUAUGCCCCCUUUCCCCAUUGUUGUCACUUAGAAUAGUGUAUAUACCUAGUUAGGGAUAUCUUCCUAUUGUUUAUGGUUGGGAUUGGAAGGAGGUGUUCAGGCUUGGACACCUCUUUCAGAUGGCUUUAGGGUUUAGUUAAAAUAGAUAGUUAGGAUGUGACAUAAGCAGAUUGUUGUAUCUUCUUAUACUUUAAACUGUUAAGUUUUA